Molecule: long non-coding RNA, 1080 nt
Filed under: Homo sapiens (human)
Lineage: Eukaryota; Metazoa; Chordata; Mammalia; Primates; Hominidae
Description: long intergenic non-protein coding RNA 658
Source: RNAcentral
CCACCGCUCUCCAAGGACUCUCGAGCAGCUCCAUCUACAGAUUCACAUGGAGAAGAAUUAAGGGUUCCUGCCAAUCACCAGCACCACUUUGCCAGCCUUGUAAGUGGGCCACCUUGGAAUUGGAGCCUCCAGUUCCUACUGACAUCUGACUGCAACAUCAUGAGAGACCCUGAGUUUGAACCACCCAGCUGAGCUGCUUCUGAGCUAACCCACUGAAACCGUGAAAGUACCUGAAUGAAACAACACCCAGUAGCCACUAGCACACCUAGCUCCCAGAUCUGUUUUUGAUGCCAUUCUUCAGUAAAAGGAAGCAAGGCUGCUUGGAGAAAUUGCUAUCAAGGACUGGGGUAGAAAAUAUACAAGAUGAAAUUGGAGCAUCUUGUAGUGCUUGAAAACAGUUGGCAUCUGUGUGAAGAUGUGAAUGGAGGAGGCAGAGUAGGCAGUGAGUGCCGCAGCCACAGCUUGUGUUCUCUGCAGCCCUGGCACAGAAGAUAGGAACACUCAUGGGGGAUGCGGCCACUGUGAUGUCUUCCCACACAAGAAGUGCCAAGUGCUUUUCUCAUGCUUUUCUGGAUUGUCCCAUGGUGGACGAGUCAGCAGGAGUGAGAUGGAGCAGCACAGUAGAGGGGUUCCUUAGAUCCUGGGAUGAGGAGGUGGACCAGCAGAAGGUGGGCUUGUGAAGGCAGCCCGGGGUCCAAAUCCUCCUGGCUCUUCAGCUUAGCGGGAUGUCACCUUCAGCGUCUGAAAGCUGGGUUUGAUGCGUCUGGAAAGGCGUCCCUGACAGGCGUCGUUGCCAGGAGCCCCUAGUGCCACCAGCAGCCAGCAGGGGAGGGCGUCCUCUGCCCGCUCACUUCUGACCCUUCUCUCGUUGCACCCGGAACAUGGUGCAGCUGGGAGCAGCCUGGGCUGCGCGGAAGGCUCAGAUUUGGGGACGGCCCUUGCCAGUGACUGUGAGCUGGGGUGUCUUGGAAACUCCCAGUCUCAGCUUCUCCAUUUAUAAGAUGAGAAUGAUCAUACCAGACUCAGGCAAGGUUGUUUGUGCAUUAGUGAAAUCAGACGUAUUAAAUAAAGUACCACAUU